Molecule: ribosomal RNA, 253 nt
Filed under: uncultured bacterium
Lineage: Bacteria
Description: partial 16S ribosomal RNA
Rfam family: Bacterial small subunit ribosomal RNA
Source: RNAcentral
UACGUAGGGACCAAGCGUUGUCCGGAAUCAUUGGGCGUAAAGAGCGUGUAGGCGGCUUGUUAAGUCUUGCGUGAAAUCUCGGGGCUCAACCCCGAGCGGUCGUGAGAAACUGGCAGGCUAGAGUGCGGGAGAGGAGAGUGGAAUUCCUGGUGUAGCGGUGAAAUGCGCAGAUAUCAGGAAGAACACUCGUGGCGAAGGCGGCUCUCUGGAACGCAACUGACGCUGAGACGCGAAAGCGUGGGGAGCAAACAGG